Oreochromis niloticus (Nile tilapia) is the source of this 2187-nucleotide long non-coding RNA. The record is from Ensembl. Lineage: Eukaryota; Metazoa; Chordata; Actinopteri; Cichliformes; Cichlidae.
UUUCAGUUAAAAUCGCUGUUAGGCUAAAUGAAUGUUUUAUUCUGAAAUUCGGCCCGGAAGUUCGUUCGCCCGUGGCAAAGCGAAAAUCAUCGGGGUCUUGGUAGAGAGGGCUGCCUUGCUAAGAUCAUGGAUCUCCUCAGCAGUUUGGAAAUCUACAUCCCUGCAGAGGCUGAGGUGAAAAACAUCCCUUUGUGGACCUUGCCAAAGUCUGUACUCAGAAGAAUGGGCCUCCCUCUCCUGAAUGCCUCCAGGAAUCUUGCAGACUCUCCAGAAGGCAUAUGGAUUUCUCCAGCAGUUAUACGGAAGAAAGGCCAGAGAUACACAGGAAGUGCAAUAGAUAACAUGACCUCAGUGCUGGGCAAAGAGUUGCGUGCUUCAAGGGGUCCUUUUCGAAUGUCUUUUGUUUCCUCGAACCAUGCAGCUCAUGAGGUGCUGAAGGGCACCGUUCCCAAGGCACCUCUAUGUCAAACCUCUCAAUUCCCUCCGGACUCUGCACCACGAACCGGUCGAGAUGCUGUCGUCAUCUACCGUGGGCAAGUUUACUUGUCCAUCAGGGUGCCUAGUCGUAGCCAUAGUCAGCGUGGGAAACAGACGACUUCCCAGCCUGUCACUCCUUCAACGUCCCUCUUGUCUUCAAAGAAAAGGAAAAAGACGAUGCUAAGCGACAAUAAGCCCAAGAAAAAGCACAACAUAUGUGAAGUAAUGCAUACAGAAAACAAGAAGGAUGACGCACACAGGACAAGAGAUGUUCACUUUCUGCCAAAACCCAUUGAGAGUGAGUGUGAAGUUGGCAGCAAGUGUCCUGCAGAUUCUAGAGGAGAGCUGCUCUCAGAAGCCCCCCUGAAGACAGCUGGCUUUCAGCCUCACGGGGAGCCAGAGGAGGAUCUGACUGCCGAAGAAGCAGACGGCCCCCAUGAGAACAAUGACAGAAGUGGUAGUCUACAGAUGGACAUCGGGGAAGUUGACCAAAGUAGCAGGGGCAGGAUGGAGCCCCUGUGUGCAGCUGCCGCCUCCACAUCACUGCAGAUGGACUGUGACUUUAACGAGUUGGCACAAGAGGAGAAGAUCGCUCAAAUGAGAGCCAAACUUAGACAGAACGAAGCUGCUCUAAACCUGCUUUCUUAAAGUGACCUCACAUUUGUUAGCCUUUUUGUACCAAAUGUUUAGAAUAGACUUUUAUACAUUUGUCUUCUGUGAACACAUGCACAUUAAUAAAAAUGGUAUCGAUGGGCUUAUGUGUUUGGUGAUCCUUUUGUUUUAUUCGGGCGUCCAAAAACAAAGAGAUGUUGUACUAGUGUGGUGUUGUCUUCUCAUUAGGUGCAGUUUAUAGCAACGUCUUCAUUGUUUGGAUGUUUUUGAUGUGUUAGUUCUGGUCAAAAAAUCAUUUCCUUUUGAUAAAACCUUAAACCAUAACAGGGUAUGGGUUGAUUAGGUUAACCUGUAGUUUGAUAAGGUCCCAUUUACAAAGUCAACCACAUGGUUCUUUGUUAAAAUGCUUCUUUUUCCCAGAAUAUAUGAUGGGCUUUUUCCUGGUUCAGUAACUAAGACUUUUUUUUUUCUUUUUUUUUUGUUAAAAUCAAGCAUCCCAAAUAUACCGUUUUGUUUUUAUGUUUAGUAUGGUAGUUUUCCUGAUCACCUUGAAACACCUCCACAGGUCAUGAGUGGGUCUUAUAUCUGUUGGAAGUGCUCCAAACCACAAACGGCAAAUAUGACUAAUCUUUGUGCAUAUGUGUUUCAUAAUGUGACUUUUAAUACUAAUUAGACCUGUGAAAAAUCAUUAUUAUUAUCAUUAUUAUUAUUAUUAUUGUUUGGUGACCUAGUGCUGAAAUGGUUGUGGCAUGAUUGUUGUCCUUUCUACUCUGCCUUCUCACUCCAUAAAUUAUUUUUCAUACGCAAGUCUUGCACUCUGGGCCUGACAUUUCCCACUCUUCUGUCAGUGUGGAACAAUAAUGUCAGGACUUUGAAUUGUGACAUAGUGACUGUGCUCACACUCACCUGUCUGUUCUGGUCCCUGAACGAUUCAAAAUGUUUAGCAUGAACUCAUCUAGGGUUAAAGGUUUUCAUUUCUCUGUGUUUGAAAUGCAUUUCUAUAGAUGUAUUUCUGUUUGGAAAAUAUGUUUGCAAUAAAAGCAUUCUGUACGGGGCUUUGAAUUUUAUUUCCAAGAAGCAUCUCACCACACCAAAGUG